AGCCAGCAGCCGCGGUAAUACAGAGGUCCCAAGCGUUGUUCGGAUUCACUGGGCGUAAAGGGUGCGUAGGUGGCCGGGUAAGUUCGAUGUGAAAGCUCGGAGCUCAACUCCGAAAUGGCAUUGAAUACUAUCCGGCUGGAGGGUCGGAGGGGAGACUGGAAUUCUCGGUGUAGCAGUGAAAUGCGUAGAUAUCGAGAGGAACACCAGUGGCGAAGGCGAGUCUCUGGACGACACCUGACACUGAGGCACGAAAGCUAGGGGAGCAAACAGGAUUAGAUACCCUGGUAGUCCUAGCUGUAAACGGUGCACGUUUGCUGUAAGAGGAAUCGACCCCUUUUGUGGCGAAGCUAACGCGAUAAACGUGCCGCCUGGGGAGUACGGUCGCAAGAUUAAAACUCAAAGGAAUUGACGGGGGCCCGCACA
This 423-nucleotide ribosomal RNA is filed under the name uncultured bacterium. Its description in RNAcentral is "bacterial SSU rRNA". It matches the Rfam family "Bacterial small subunit ribosomal RNA", at positions 506 to 927 of the family's 1533-position model. The record is from RNAcentral.